RNAcentral lists this ribosomal RNA (688 nucleotides) under Escherichia coli. RNAcentral's name for it is "partial 23S ribosomal RNA". It matches the Rfam family "Bacterial large subunit ribosomal RNA", at positions 581 to 1268 of the family's 2925-position model. Lineage: Bacteria; Pseudomonadati; Pseudomonadota; Gammaproteobacteria; Enterobacterales; Enterobacteriaceae. The record is from RNAcentral.
ACGCUUAGGCGUGUGACUGCGUACCUUUUGUAUAAUGGGUCAGCGACUUAUAUUCUGUAGCAAGGUUAACCGAAUAGGGGAGCCGAAGGGAAACCGAGUCUUAACUGGGCGUUAAGUUGCAGGGUAUAGACCCGAAACCCGGUGAUCUAGCCAUGGGCAGGUUGAAGGUUGGGUAACACUAACUGGAGGACCGAACCGACUAAUGUUGAAAAAUUAGCGGAUGACUUGUGGCUGGGGGUGAAAGGCCAAUCAAACCGGGAGAUAGCUGGUUCUCCCCGAAAGCUAUUUAGGUAGCGCCUCGUGAAUUCAUCUCCGGGGGUAGAGCACUGUUUCGGCAAGGGGGUCAUCCCGACUUACCAACCCGAUGCAAACUGCGAAUACCGGAGAAUGUUAUCACGGGAGACACACGGCGGGUGCUAACGUCCGUCGUGAAGAGGGAAACAACCCAGACCGCCAGCUAAGGUCCCAAAGUCAUGGUUAAGUGGGAAACGAUGUGGGAAGGCCCAGACAGCCAGGAUGUUGGCUUAGAAGCAGCCAUCAUUUAAAGAAAGCGUAAUAGCUCACUGGUCGAGUCGGCCUGCGCGGAAGAUGUAACGGGGCUAAACCAUGCACCGAAGCUGCGGCAGCGACGCUUAUGCGUUGUUGGGUAGGGGAGCGUUCUGUAAGCCUGCGAAGGUGUGCUGUGAGG